AAGUGACUUUGUCCCUUGUUUCUUCCAAAGUUCCCAGCUUUACAGAAAGAAACUUUGCAGGGAAUCUCUUUGCGCUGAUGGGUUCCCCAAUUUGGGAUUUAUUGUUCAACUCCAUAGACGGAUGAGAUAUAAGGCAGGACUUCGUCUUCAUCAGCAAACGUCGAGGAGUGAUUUGUGCUCGCCACACUGAAUUAACCAGAGAAGCGUUAGGAAUCGACCUCCACAACAAGAACUUGAAAUCGACCUCCCCUUAUAAGCAAUCCAUUUUAUGAUUAACCAGAUUAAAGAAUCUAGGACAUGAAGAGCGUGCUUUUGUUGUGUUAAUGGUUUCAUGAAGGUCGAUGCUGAUUCAGGAAGACAUCCACAUCCAUGCUGUUUGGUGCGAAAAAAGCAUCACUUUUAAGACUUCAGAUUCUGAGCACAUAAGCAUCGAUACUCUUUUCAAGUCUUCCUUUUAAUAUUUCUGUAACCUUUCAACUGAGCUGCUUAAUGAUGUUUUGUGGUAGGGUAAAUUCUUUUAAGUAUAUAAAUGAAUGCUAAAACCAUAUAUGACUUCACUAGGAAAAGCAUUCUUUCAAUUAAAAUAAAUAAACUAAAUAGCAUGAAAAUCAAUUCAGUGUUAGUUGAUGAUUGAAUUGUUCAAUGAACAACGAUCAAGUACUGCACAUGUUGAAUACUUUAUAUGGACACAGUUGUAUUAUUAGAAGUCGCUAUCGCGACAACUAUUUUUAUACAGACUUUAACUUUAAAAAAACAGAGGAAGAUAUGGAUCUAAGGGGAAUGGAUUAUUCAUAUAUAAGUAUUUAUUGAUGAAUUUCUCUAAAACAUUUUAUGAAAGAUCGAAUGUAGAUAUUAAUAUGUUAAUCAAUAAGCAGUUACUAGGACAUGGAUGGGCUUAGCCAAGAACCAUUUUUGCAGCAAACCUGCACUAGGUUCAUAUUGGCCAUCUUUAUACAUGCACACGCGAGGGAAUAUGAGAAAUAUCUUGUGGACAACAGAACGUGAUUUGGUUAUAAGCUGAUAUCAUAACUUUGCAAGUUGAAGGAAUUAAUAUUGUUAGAAGAUUGCAAAUAGUCUUUUAAUUUCUUUCUUUCUUUCCAUUUUGCAGGCAGAAUAAGGUCUUUCUUUCAGUGAGAAAGAUGCAAAGGUAUCUUUAUGUCAGCCAGCAGUUGCAGUCAGUAAUAACUAACAAUUAGUAACUUGUUCGAGGACUGCUAGAGAGUUGAUCGAUGUAUUGAAUAGGGAUGAUCCGGGGAUUGAUAUCAUACUUGCUGAAGCUAAUCUGCUAGCAGCUAAUGAAGCGAAAUUGUUGAAGUAUAUUUUGCAUGAUAGAGAAAUGCAUCACAUUCCUGUCGUUGUUGUGUCGAGCCCGGAUGAGAUCUCUAUCAUUGUGAAAUGUUUGAGGUUUGGAGCGACUGAUUAUCUUCUCAUGCCUUUGAGUGACAAUGAACUGCUGAAUUUGUGGAUGUAUAAACAGCAGGCAAUCCAUACUAAUGCUGUUUGUGUUGCAGUUGGUCCAACUGGUAUGUGUAAACAUCUCGUCUUUCUUUUUCUCUCUCGAUCUUUUCCUCUCAUACGAAAUUUGGAUAUUUU
Impatiens glandulifera is the source of this 1593-nucleotide long non-coding RNA. RefSeq lists it as uncharacterized. Lineage: Eukaryota; Viridiplantae; Streptophyta; Magnoliopsida; Ericales; Balsaminaceae. The record is from RefSeq and is a predicted model, not a curated record. The transcript has 4 exons.